UGCGGGGUGGUGUAACGGUAGCACGCCUGGCUCUGGACCAGGAGGUUCUAGGUUCGAAUCCUAGCCCCGCAGCCA
Molecule: transfer RNA, 75 nt
Filed under: Pseudomonadota bacterium
Lineage: Bacteria; Pseudomonadati; Pseudomonadota
Also listed under: 3 other names
Description: tRNA-Gln
Rfam family: tRNA
About the family: Transfer RNA (tRNA) molecules are approximately 80 nucleotides in length. Their secondary structure includes four short double-helical elements and three loops (D, anti-codon, and T loops). Further hydrogen bonds mediate the characteristic L-shaped molecular structure. tRNAs have two regions of fundamental functional importance: the anti-codon, which is responsible for specific mRNA codon recognition, and the 3' end, to which the tRNAs corresponding amino acid is attached (by aminoacyl-tRNA synthetases). tRNAs cope with the degeneracy of the genetic code in two manners: having more than one tRNA (with a specific anti-codon) for a particular amino acid; and 'wobble' base-pairing, i.e. permitting non-standard base-pairing at the 3rd anti-codon position.
Source: RNAcentral